This 72-nucleotide transfer RNA is filed under the name Phylloscopus borealis (Arctic warbler). Its description in RNAcentral is "Seicercus borealis (Arctic warbler) tRNA-Glu". Lineage: Eukaryota; Metazoa; Chordata; Aves; Passeriformes; Phylloscopidae. The record is from RNAcentral.
GUUUCUGUAGUUAAAGUGUUGUAACGAUGGCUUUUCAGGCCGUAGAUCUCGGAGAGAGGCCGAGCAGGAAUU